RNAcentral lists this ribosomal RNA (459 nucleotides) under uncultured bacterium. Its description in RNAcentral is "partial 16S ribosomal RNA". It matches the Rfam family "Bacterial small subunit ribosomal RNA", at positions 338 to 795 of the family's 1533-position model. The record is from RNAcentral.
CCUACGGGUGGCAGCAGUGAGGAAUAUUGGUCAAUGGGCGGAAGCCUGAACCAGCCAAGUAGCGUGCGGGAUGAAGGCCCUACGGGUCGUAAACCGCUUUUGCACGGGGAUAACACCCUCCACUUGUGGAGGUCUGCAGGUACCGUGCGAAUACGGGCCGGCUAAUUCCGUGCCAGCCGCCGCGGUAAUCCGGAGGGCCCGAGCGUUAUCCGGAUUCAUUGGGCUUAAAGGGAGCGUAGGCGGGCGUUCAAGUCAGCGGUAAAAUCGGGCGGCUAACCCCCGGCCCGCAGUUGAAACUGGAUGGCUGGAGUACACAACAGGCAGGCGGAAUUCGUGGUGUAGCGGUGAAAUGCAUAGAGAUCACGAGGAACCCCGAUUGCGAAGGCAGCCUGCCGGAGUGCGACUGACGUUGAGGCUCGAAGGUGCGGGUAGCAAACAGGAUUAGAUACCCGGGUAGUC